RNAcentral lists this ribosomal RNA (433 nucleotides) under uncultured bacterium. RNAcentral's name for it is "partial 16S ribosomal RNA". It matches the Rfam family "Bacterial small subunit ribosomal RNA", at positions 29 to 507 of the family's 1533-position model. The record is from RNAcentral.
AACGAACGCUGGCGGCAUGCUUAACACAUGCAAGUCGAACGGAACCUCCGGGCCUGGUGGCUCACGGGGUGGUAACGGGGGGGAACCUCCCUUGGGGUUCUGAAUAACUCCCCGAAAGGGGUGCUAAUACCGGGUAAUGUCUCCGGACAAAAGAUUUAUCGCCUUUGGAUGGGGCCGCGUUGUUUUAGUUAGUUGGUAGGGUAAAGCCCUGCCAAGGCGACGAGCCAUAGCUGGUCUGAGAGGAUGAUCAGCCACACUGGGACUCGGACACGGCCCCGACUCCUACGGGAGGGAGGAGAGGGGAAUAUAGGACAGUGGGCGAAAGGCUGAUACAGCAAGGCCGCGUGAAUGAUGAAGGCCUUAGGGUUGUAAAGCUCUUUUACCCGGGCUGAUAAUGACAGUACCGAGAGAACAAGCUCCGGCUAACUACGUG